GGCUCCGUAGCUCAGUUGGCUAGAGCAUUCGGUUCAUACCCGGAGUGUCAUUGGUUCGAGUCCAAUCGGAGCCA
Molecule: transfer RNA, 74 nt
Filed under: Clostridiales bacterium
Lineage: Bacteria; Bacillati; Bacillota; Clostridia; Eubacteriales
Also listed under: 1 other name
Description: tRNA-Met
Rfam family: tRNA
About the family: Transfer RNA (tRNA) molecules are approximately 80 nucleotides in length. Their secondary structure includes four short double-helical elements and three loops (D, anti-codon, and T loops).
Source: RNAcentral